GGGGGCGACUAGGUUUCGACUGGAGUAGUCGGGGCUAUGUGCAUGUCGGUAUUGCCAACGUUAAUAGGCUUCCUACAAAUAAACGCAAAUAAUACAAAUUACCGUCCUGCUUACGCUGUAGCGUAGCGGACUGCUCUAUCGGGGAUUGCCAUCUUAACCGAUGGAGUAUCACAAAUUGGUGGCUAUACCUAUAUGGGAGCCAAACCGUAUGGGUGAAAUCUCUGGCUAGUCUUGUGUAGUCUCGGGUGUCUGUUCGAAGCAAGAUGAAAUCUAAACAGCACCGUCUAAACAUGUAGAGUCAUAGCUCUUGCUAUUUCAGGACUGGGGUUCGAUUCCCCACGCCUCCACCA
RNAcentral lists this transfer-messenger RNA (350 nucleotides) under Campylobacterota bacterium. RNAcentral's name for it is "Epsilonproteobacteria bacterium (hydrothermal vent metagenome) transfer-messenger RNA". It matches the Rfam family "transfer-messenger RNA". Rfam says of the family: Bacterial tmRNA, also known as 10Sa RNA or SsrA, is named for its dual tRNA and mRNA-like properties. Its role is to liberate the mRNA from a stalled ribosome. Lineage: Bacteria; Pseudomonadati; Campylobacterota. RNAcentral also lists the same sequence under 1 other name. The record is from RNAcentral.